CAGGUAGUCUAGUGGUUAGCGCAGGAAGCCUAGUGGUUAGAGACAGGUAGCCUAGUGGUUAGAGCAGGUAGCCUAGUGGUUAGAGCAGGUAGCCUAGUGGUUAGAGCAGGUAGCCUAGUGGUUAGAGCAGGUAGUCUAGUGGUUAGAGCAGGAAGCCUAGUGGUUAGAGCAGGUAGCCUAGUGGUUAGGUAGCCUAGUGGUUAGAGCAGGUAGCCUAGUGGUUAGGUAGCCUAGUGAUUAGAACAGGUAGCCUAGUGGUUAGAGCAGGUAGCCUAGUGGUUAGAGCAGGUAGCCUAGUGGUUAGAGCAGGUAGCCUAGUGGUUAGAGCAGGUAGUCUAGUGGUUAGAGCAGGAAGCCUAGUGGUUAGAGCAGGUAGCCUAGUGGUUAGAGCAGGUAGCCUAGUGGUUAGAGCAGGAAGCCUAGUGGUUAGAGCAGGUAGCCUAGUGGUUAGAGCAGGAAGCCUAGUGGUUAGAGCAGGUAGCCUAGUGGUUAGAGCAGGUAGCCUAGUGGUUAGAGCAGGUAGCCUAGUGGUUAGAGCAGGUAGCCUAGUGGUUAGAGCAGGUAGCCUAGUGGUUAGAGCAGGUAGCCUAGUGGUUAGAGCAGGUAGCCUAGUGGUUAGAGCAGGUAGCCUAGUGGUUAGAGCAGGAAGCCUAGUGGUUAGAGCAGGUAGCCUAGUGGUUAGAGCAGGUAGCCUAGUGGUUAGAGCAGGAAGCCUAGUGGUUAGAGCAGGUAGCCUAGUGGUUAGAGCAGGUAGCCUAGUGGUUAGAGCAGGUAGCCUAGUGGUUAGAGCAGGUAGCCUAGUGGUUAGAGCAGGAAGCCUAGUGGUUAGAGCAGGUAGCCUAGUGGUUAGGUAGCCUAGUGGUUUGAGCAGGUAGCCUAGUGGUUAGGUAGCCUAGUGAUUAGAGUAGGUAGCCUAGUGGUUAGAGCAUGUAGCCUAGUGGUUAGGUAGCCUAGUCGCUAGAGCAGGUAGCCUAGUGGUUAGAGUAGGUAGCCUUGUGGUUAGAGUAGGAAGCCUAGUGGUUAUAGCAGGUAGCCUAGUGGUUAGGUAGCCUAGUGGUUAUAGCAGGUAGCCUAGUGGUUAGGUAGCUUCGUGGUUAGAGCAUGUAGCCUAGUGGUUAGAGCAGGUAGUGUGGUGGUUAGAGCAGGUAGCCUGGUGGUUAGAGCAGGUAGCCUAGUGGUUAGAGCAGGUAGCCUAGUGGUUAGGUAGCUUAGUGGUUAGAGCAUGUAGCCUAGUGGUUAGGUAGCCUAGUGGCAAGAGCAGGUAGCCUAGUGGUUAGAGUAGGAGGCUAGUGGUUAGAGCAGGUAGCCUAGUGGUUAGGUAGCCUAGUGGUUAGAGCAGGUAGCCUAGUGGUUAGAACAGGUAGCCUAGUGGUUAGAGUAGGUAGCCUAGUGGUUAGGGCAGGUAGCCUAGUGGUUAGAGCAGGUAGCCUAGUGGUUAGAGUAGGUACCCUAGUGGUUAAAGCAGGUAGCCUUGUGGUUAGAGUUGGUAGUGUGGUGGUUAGAGCAGGUAGCCUAGUGGUUAGAGCAGGUAGCCUAGUGGUUAGUGGUGGUUAGAGCAGGUAGCCUACUGGUUAGAGCAGGUAGCCUAGUGGUUAGAGCAGGUAGCCUAGUGGUUAGUGGUGGUUAGAGCAGGUAGCCUAGUGGUUAGAGCAGGUAGCCUAGAGGUUAGUGGUGGUUAGAGCAGGUAGCCUACUGGUUAGAGCGGGUAGCGUAGUGGUAAGAGCAUUGGGCCAGUAACCGAAAGGUUGCUAGAUCAAAUCCCUGAGCUGACAAAGUGGGUCAACUGAACAAGACAGUUAACCUUCUGUUCCUAGGCCGUCAUUGUAAAUAAGAAUUUGUUCUUAACUGACUUGCCUAGUUAAAUAAAGGUAAAAUAAAAAAAUUAUGCUAUUGGAUGGUACGAGAGAGGAACAGCAUUUAGCUGUGAAUGUGUACAAGACAAACUAAUAAUUACACCUUGGUAUGUGUGUAUACUAGUUUACAAUGUACACUAAUCUGAUUGUACACUAUUCUGUGAUUAUGAUUGUCAGUCCAACACUUUAGCCAUUACAACAAGGGGUUUGAACCUUUUUACAUGAGGUUGUUAGGAAUGAUACUAAAGUCACUACAAUACUGUAGAGUUGAGACU
Oncorhynchus keta (chum salmon) is the source of this 2128-nucleotide long non-coding RNA. RefSeq lists it as uncharacterized. The record is from RefSeq and is a predicted model, not a curated record. The transcript has 6 exons. NCBI's taxonomy places the organism in Eukaryota, Metazoa, Chordata, Actinopteri, Salmoniformes, Salmonidae.